Small nuclear RNA from Octodon degus (degu), 104 nucleotides. The record is from Ensembl. Lineage: Eukaryota; Metazoa; Chordata; Mammalia; Rodentia; Octodontidae.
GUGCUCGCUUCAGCAGCACAUAUACUAAAGUUAGAACGAUACAGAGAUUAGCAUGGCCCCUGCACAAGGAUGACACGCAAAUUUGUAAAACGUUCCGUAUAUUU